Molecule: ribosomal RNA, 471 nt
Filed under: uncultured Thiomonas sp.
Lineage: Bacteria; Pseudomonadati; Pseudomonadota; Betaproteobacteria; Burkholderiales
Description: bacterial SSU rRNA
Rfam family: Bacterial small subunit ribosomal RNA
Source: RNAcentral
CCAUGCAAGUCGAACGGCAGCGCGGGGCAACCUGGCGGCGAGUGGCGAACGGGUGAGUAAUACAUCGGAACGUGCCCUGUGAUGGGGGAUAACUACGCGAAAGCGUAGCUAAUACCGCAUACGACCUACGGGUGAAAGUGGGGGAUCGCAAGACCUCACGUCAUAGGAGCGGCCGAUGGCGGAUUAGCUAGUUGGUGAGGUAAAGGCUUACCAAGGCGACGAUCCGUAGCUGGUCUGAGAGGACGACCAGCCACACUGGGACUGAGACACGGCCCAGACUCCUACGGGAGGCAGCAGUGGGGAAUCUUGGACAAUGGGGGCAACCCUGAUCCAGCAAUGCCGCGUGUGGGAUGAAGGCCUUCGGGUUGUAAACCACUUUUGGCGGGGGCGAAAUAUCGAGUGCUAAUACCAUUCGGUGAUGACGGUACCCGCAGAAUAAGCACCGGCUAACUACGUGCCAGCAGCCCCGGG